CAUGCAAGUCGAACGAGAGAAGAGAAGCUUGCUUUUCUGAUCUAGUGGCGGACGGGUGAGUAACACGUGAGCAAUCUGCCUUUCAGAGGGGGAUACCGAUUGGAAACGAUCGUUAAUACCGCAUAAUAUAAUUGAACCGCAUGAUUUGAUUAUCAAAGAUUUAUCGCUGAAAGAUGAGCUCGCGUCUGAUUAGCUAGUUGGUAAGGUAACGGCUUACCAAGGCGACGAUCAGUAGCCGGACUGAGAGGUUGAUCGGCCACAUUGGGACUGAGACACGGCCCAGACUCCUACGGGAGGCAGCAGUGGGGAAUAUUGCACAAUGGAGGAAACUCUGAUGCAGCGAUGCCGCGUGAGGGAAGAAGGUUUUAGGAUUGUAAACCUCUGUCUUCAGGGACGAAAAA
Molecule: ribosomal RNA, 401 nt
Filed under: uncultured bacterium
Lineage: Bacteria
Description: bacterial SSU rRNA
Rfam family: Bacterial small subunit ribosomal RNA
Source: RNAcentral